UCGGCGUCGCAGCCCUUCCGAUGGCGCUGUCACACAGUCCCUCCUGUGUGAUGGAGGAUGCCACCCACCUGGCGCUCCAGGUGGGCGCCCCAGAGUCUCCCCAAGUCCCUGCAGGCCCGAGGAGGAAAAUCCCUGCCCCGACCUGCUGACAAGGGGACUCCUACUCCUUCCGUGCUUGGGGAGUGUCGGAGGGAAAGUUCUGGCUCCUCCCCAAAGAAAGGGGAGCCGCUCUUCUGGCGAUAAGAGGAGACGUCUGUUGGCCCACUCACCCGUGGGUGGGGACGCCGAGCCACAGAGGCCCCAAACAAGUCCCACCCUGUCUGCCGUGCGCUGCCCGCCCGUGGCUGGCGAGCAGCGCAGGGUUCUUCUUUUGGUUUCCUGUUCCCGUGUGGGAUUCCAGAGCCCCGGUAUUAACUGACAGAGCCGGGAAGGAGAGCACCGGGAUUCUUAAAGGCAGCAGCCCAUGCAUUUCAGAGCAGUAGUGUCCUUGAAACCAGCGCUCUGGAAUCUUCCCCUUGUUGAAUGCCAAGAGCCACAGCAAGGCCUGGGCCAAAGAGGACCGCCAUCCCAGCCGGCAGGUCCUGGCUGCGCACGCUGGCUUCCUGGGGGCUGCACGCUCUCCCACCUGCCUGGGAACAGAGCAAAGAUUCAAGCCAGUGUUAAUACUUUCAAGCGAUAAAACUUCAUCGAGGAGGCAACUGAGAAGCGGAAAAGGCAACCCCAAAUGAACGCAUGCCGCUACAGGAAAGAUGGAAUCACAGCCCUCUUCCUCUAAGAUUCCGCUGAACGUGUUAACACCUUCAACGUAAGAUCACCCCAAUCUCAUCUUCCUCUGGACCCCACAGUCCCUCGAUUGCUCAGAACAGGCUCACUGUUCAUUAGCGGGCAGGCCUACGUUGAAGAGCUUUUUCUGAUGUUAACUGGGUCCCUGCUUCUCCUCCCCUCAGGAGUCCAUCUGCACUGCUGAUGCUCUCAGAAGCUGAGCCACACACAGGGCCAGGUCAGAGCCUGUGACACGUUCCCUGAAAACAGACAAAGUCCCCUGACCCACAGCACGGCCUCCCCUUCCGGGACUCUGCACAAGUUAUCCCCUUCCCAGUGACCUUCCUCUCUCUCUGAGAUUACUGUCUUAAUCAUUUUUUUUAACCUGUUUGCUGUUUGUCAUAUGCCACAAGACUGUAACCUCAAGAAGGCAGGGCACGUCUGUCUCAUUCACCACUGAGCCCCCAGCGCUCACAACAGUGCCUUGUACAGAGAAGAAGCUCUGUAAAUAUCUGCUGGGUAAAUGGACACACGAUCUCCUUACUUAUCCUUCAAACCUCCGAUUUCCCUCCAGGAUGCUCUCUCUGCACACCCGCCACCCUGCUCGCCCAGGCCGCCCCCAUAAGCUCGCACAGGCCCUGGGCGGCCUCCCCGUCGGCCACCGCCCUGGGCUGUGACCACUUCCUUGCCUAGCUGUCUCUUGCACCGAACUAGAAGCAUCCUGAGGGUAGGGGCCAUGCUGCAUUUGCCAUAAUAUCAGCAGCGUCUACCCUGGUGCCCGACGCCAGCAGAUACUUAAAUCGUUAUGUGAAUGAACAUUCCUCUCCGUGGCUCUUCUUCAAUCCCCUUCUCUUCCAAGCGAUUCCUUUGGUUGUAACAGCUGUGAGCGUGUGUGUACAUUUAGACUCUACUUGCUGCAAAAAGGAUCUAACUACACACACACACAUACACAGUAUUCAGAGAGAAUGCCUACACAGAAAGAGGAAACUGAGAAACAGAAGAAGACAGAUUGUUAAAACCAAGCAAAGAAACACUCACAGACUUUUGCUUGAAAAUUCCAAGAGAUCUGACAACGGUUUGAGGCAGGCCCCGCCCACACACGUGUGACUCUGCUGAGGCCCCGCCUCCCUCUCCGUUCCUUCUGCAUUCCGUGUGAAAGCGACCACACACCCCAGAAACAAAUUCUCAACAUCAGUUGUCAUCUUCCUCUCCCUAAUAACAGCCGCACAGUAUGCACAAGGAGUCAGGGAACCAAUGAGCUGUGUCCCUGGGGGCAGGAGGGAGGGGAGAGAUAACUGUCCCCAGGGAACAUCCUUUGCCUCGAAUAGCUGAAAAACUGCAGGGAGGCUGCAGGCAAGAGAAGCAGCAGCCUCCUCUGUGCGUCUCACCGCCCCCCGCCCUCCCCCCCCCCCAAGCCUUCCUUGCGCGUGGUCCUGGGCACGACCGAGAGCACAUACGUGGUGCAGUGAGGGGUGGGCCCAGGCGGGGCAGCCAGCCUAACCUGAGCUGAAUCUGGGCUUCCCCAACCUCAGCAGGGGAAUCUUGGGCAAGAAACCCGAGCACUCAGUCUCCUCACUGGAAAAUGGGGUUAAAAAAAUAAACCGCUCGGUAAGCCUUGAGGACUCAAUGACAAGCGAGCUGCCCAGCACAGUGCCUGGCACGGGGAGGUGCUCAGUAAACACGGGUGUCCUCCCCGCCACUUCCUGGUUUUCAGACGCCCGAAGCCAGUUCUACCAUCACUGCCAGGAAUUCAGCUCGGCGGUGAGACUCUCCCCGCCUCCGUGCCUUCUUCCACCUCUGUGUGCGAGGAGUGGGGAGGGAGAGCAGGGCCCCCCGGCACGCUCAUUCUACGCCCUCACCCCAAAAUCCACAUCGGUUCUGUGCCCUCCAAGCCGCGCCCUCAGCACAACGCUGCCCGUCCAGCAGGACAGCCCGUUGGGCCCCCCAGAAGGUCUGGGCAAGCAGGGCCGUCAGGUGACUGCACACCCCUUCCCUCUGCGCCCACCGAACAGCCCGGGGGCGUGCCUCGCUGUACAAGAAUUUCCCUAAAUAUCAGCUUUACACUUCAGUUGUCAUUCACUGAGUUUGAAGCUCCAUAAAUAGAAAAUCAUGAAAUUUCUUCUGUAAGUUCUAACAGCAGGUCAGGUCAACAGAAACAAACAUAAAUCACGUAUCUGGUUAGCUGUUUUAGCUAGAUAACUCAGUCUCUCAAAGUGAUUCAAAGUCAGCUUUAACUCUGACUAUUGAUCUUUCGAACAAGUGCUGAGAAGGCCUUGCGAUGGGGCUGAAUGACACGCUGUUUACGUUCAGUUACUUCAUCGCACGGAACCUUAUUGAUGUUUUUGUAAACACCUGCAAGGACCUUUCCAGCGGCUGCAGAGAUGUUUCCAGUUUCCAACUCACUUAUUUUUAUUGCCUCCAUUCAUCAGAUAAAGUGAGGAUUUUGAAGCCAAAGAGGGAUCACAGAGAAGACAAAUCCUGAAAACCGUCCAAACAUCUCAGAAACGUACACUCUCCGCAGACCAGAAAGGAUAUUUGUCGUCCCG
Molecule: long non-coding RNA, 3308 nt
Organism: Phyllostomus hastatus (greater spear-nosed bat)
Lineage: Eukaryota; Metazoa; Chordata; Mammalia; Chiroptera; Phyllostomidae
Exons: 3
Source: RefSeq, a predicted model, not a curated record